CAGCCGCCGCGGUAAUACGGAGGGUGCAAGCGUUAAUCGGAAUUACUGGGCGUAAAGCGCACGCAGGCGGUCUGUCAAGUCGGAUGUGAAAUCCCCGGGCUCAACCUGGGAACUGCAUUCGAAACUGGCAGGCUAGAGUCUUGUAGAGGGGGGUAGAAUUCCAGGUGUAGCGGUGAAAUGCGUAGAGAUCUGGAGGAAUACCGGUGGCGAAGGCGGCCCCCUGGACAAAGACUGACGCUCAGGUGCGAAAGCGUGGGGAGCAAACAGGAUUAGAUACCCGUGUAGUCCCUGUCUCUUAUAC
RNAcentral lists this ribosomal RNA (301 nucleotides) under uncultured bacterium. Its description in RNAcentral is "partial 16S ribosomal RNA". It matches the Rfam family "Bacterial small subunit ribosomal RNA", at positions 509 to 807 of the family's 1533-position model. The record is from RNAcentral.